Molecule: long non-coding RNA, 1191 nt
Filed under: Mytilus galloprovincialis (Mediterranean mussel)
Lineage: Eukaryota; Metazoa; Mollusca; Bivalvia; Mytilida; Mytilidae
Source: RNAcentral
AAAAAAUUUUGCGUGGGGUCUCGGGGCCGCUUAAGGCCCCCAGAAGCUCUGAGAAAAAUAACGCAAGAUCGUGCAUUCUGAGUGUUUCCCGGACUCUUUCUUACAUUGAAACACAAUUAAUUUUAAGCUAUUUCUUUUGACAAUAUUCUUGUCUCAAAGCAAAAACUCAUUGUAAUUUAAGACUUUUAGGUUUUACGGGGACAACAUUAAAAGUAGACCGAUAUGUAGAAUAAAGCAAAAACCGAAAUUCUCAUAAUCAUUGUGUCUGUCUGUUCUUGUCUUGUAUUGUGCUUAAUUCAGACUUUGGUGAUUUUUUUAUGGCUAGAUUGAAAUAGAGUGACAGUGCAGUAUUAUAUUUUAAGUACUAGUACUGCUUAAGUCGACACUAAGGACCAUCUUGACCUUGUUUUAUGGUAUUAAUGAUUCUUUUAUUGUUGAAGACCCUCCAUCAACUAUCAAGAUGAAGAAUAGGGAAAAAAAACUUUGGCCAUUGAUCAUUUGUAUUUUUUCUAUGCAUUGACUUCGUGUGAGAUAAGGUCCUGUGCACGUUUACUCCAUAUUCUUUUUUUCUGUUUAAGAGUCUAAACACGACUUCAUGCAAGUUUAAUCCUUCAAUGUAAAAGGUCAUAUGGCAAUACAUUGACUUUUUUUAAAGAUGAUUUGAUACCGGGAAAUUGGUGGUCUUACUUUAAUUUAAACCAUGUCAGCUAUCUAGUUUCAUCUACAAAAAAGAGCCAGUUUUGUAUUCUUUGAUAUCGGGUUCAAUUCUCCAUGCAGAAACGACAAUUUUUUUAUGUCCAGUAGCAUCGUAUAUUCUUAAAAUAGUUUCUCGUACAAUGUCUGGACAUCGGUGGACAUGCAACAUGGCAAAACCACAGUUUACGAAUGAAAAUCAACACUCUGCAGACUAUAGUUAUAAAGUAGGACAAUAAAUGAACAAAAGACAAACCCGGGACACAGAAGUACAAACAACAGACCAUCAACUCUGAAAACUAAAAGUAAAAUAGAAACAUGGAUCUCGAAAAACAUGCACGGGAGACAUCAGAGAGACUUGCAAGACACUUUCCGUGAAAACAAUUCAGGUUGAUACGAGACAAUCCUGUUUCUGUUUUUUUUUUUAUUUUUUUUUUUUUUUUUUGGAAAUUUCCAACAUGAGGCAUUUGCCUCAUUUGCCUCAAUGUAGUUACGGCC